Long non-coding RNA from Lacerta agilis (Sand lizard), 371 nucleotides. RefSeq lists it as uncharacterized. The transcript is spliced from 2 exons. The record is from RefSeq and is a predicted model, not a curated record. Lineage: Eukaryota; Metazoa; Chordata; Lepidosauria; Squamata; Lacertidae.
AAAGAAAGAAAGAAAGAAAGGUUCUGUGUUUAUUUGGGAAGGGAAAUUGUAUGGACCAGAGAUGCAUCUGAGGAAUGCAGUCAGAUGUUUAACUGAAAUGCACAGGUGCUGUAAAUGGGAAAAUUAAAUCUCUUCCCCGCACCCUCCACCCCGGCAGAGACACGCACUCAUACAAGGACACAAAAAGGAAGAAUUAUUUGGAAGCACACGCCAGCUAAAGGAAUACCUGAUUAACCUUUCACUGACUCCUGGGAUCACGUGAUACAAAGCUUGCCUUCCUCCUAGAGUGAUGGCUUUAGAAGAAGAUGUUAAAUUUAACCUCUGGUGCAAUGAUAAAUUGACAAUAAAAAAUUCAAUGGCUUGGUAAUUAC